CAAUAAGCGGAGGAAAAGAAACCAACAGGGAUUGCCCCAGUAACGGCGAGUGAAGCGGCAACAGCUCAAAUUUGAAAUCUGGUCCCCAGGGCCCGAGUUGUAAUUUGCAGAGGAUGCUUUUGGUGAGGUGCCUUCCGAGUUCCCUGGAACGGGACGCCAUAGAGGGUGAGAGCCCCGUCUGGUUGGAUACCGAGCCUCUGUAAAGCUCCUUCGACGAGUCGAGUAGUUUGGGAAUGCUGCUCUAAAUGGGAGGUAUAUGUCUUCUAAAGCUAAAUAUUGGCCAGAGACCGAUAGCGCACAAGUAGAGUGAUCGAAAGAUGAAAAGCACUUUGAAAAGAGGGUUAAAUAGUACGUGAAAUUGUUGAAAGGGAAGCACUUAUGACCAGACUUGGCCCCGGUGAAUCAUCCAGCGGUUCCCGCUGGUGCACUUUGCCGGGGUUCAGGCCAGCAUCAGUUCGCUCCGGGGGAUAAAGGCUUUGGGAAUGUGGCUCCCUCGGGAGUGUUAUAGCCCAUUGCGCAAUACCCUGUGGCGGGCUGAGGUUCGCGCUUUAUGCAAGGAUGCUGGCAUAAUGGUCAUCAGUGACCCGUCUUGAAACACGGACCAAGGAGUCGUCUUCGUAUGCGAGUGUUCGGGUGUUAAACCCCUACGCGUAAUGAAAGUGAACGCAGGUGAGAGCCCUCCAGGGCGCAUCAUCGACCGAUCCUGAUGUUCUCGGAUGGAUUUGAGUAAGAGCAUACGGGGCCGGACCCGAAAGAAGGUGAACUAUGCCUGUAUAGGGUGAAGCCAGAGGAAACUCUGGUGGAGGCUCGCAGCGGUUCUGACGUGCAAAUCGAUCGUCAAAUAUGGGCAUGGGGGCGAAAGACUAAUCGAACCUUCUAGUAGCUGG
RNAcentral lists this ribosomal RNA (887 nucleotides) under Metarhizium anisopliae. RNAcentral's name for it is "partial large subunit ribosomal RNA". It matches the Rfam family "Eukaryotic large subunit ribosomal RNA", at positions 44 to 954 of the family's 3401-position model. The record is from RNAcentral. Lineage: Eukaryota; Fungi; Ascomycota; Sordariomycetes; Hypocreales; Clavicipitaceae.